Molecule: long non-coding RNA, 634 nt
Filed under: Mytilus galloprovincialis (Mediterranean mussel)
Lineage: Eukaryota; Metazoa; Mollusca; Bivalvia; Mytilida; Mytilidae
Source: RNAcentral
CUCUAUUCUUUGUAUUUUAACACACCAUCAUUCUCUUUUAUUAUCAGUGUUUUCUUAAUCUUUAAUGUCUCAGCCUUUAAAUUUUGCACUUUUGCCCAUAGGGAUUAUUACAUGAUUGGUGUAUCUAUUCUGUAAACACCAUCCAGACCCUCAGUUUAUGUGAAUAUAUAUAAGUUAUCUGGUGUAUUUAGUCACACUCACCCAAUCUUGAUUAAGUCAUAUUGAUUAUUAAUAACAAAUUGGCAAAGCAAUGUGAUGGGUAAAUAUCAGUUAAAGUAAGUUGUACUUACAAACUUUAUUGUACUUUUACAGACAAUUCAUCAAUUAAACUUUGUGUCAAGUUUUCUUUUAAUUCAAUAAUAAUUAAGGAAUACACAAAUGUGACAAUUUUGACUGAAGUUUUCUAUUUGUAUCAUAAUAUGAAUACCAAUUACUUUUAAAUGCCAUUAAUGGUUUACAUAUUUUUUUCAGUACAUGCAUGAAGAUGACUUGGAGGCAAUGGUGUCAUACAUGUUAGUUUUAACUAUAAUAGCCUAACUGAAAUUUGAAAAAAGUUAUCAGAGGAAAAGAGUGACCACUUCUUUCUUAUGAAGAUCAACACACACAAGGAAAUUAUCAGACAAUUUGUAACCAG